UAAUAGUAGUUGAAAAUGAUUAUCAAUACCACAUAGAACAUCCCCCCCCCACAACGUUUCGUUCUUGUUGGAUUGGUCAUUUUCAAAUAUUCCCCUUUUAUAUGCCCGUAAAAGACAAUAUACGUUAUAACAACGUUUUAUAAAAGCAGUAAACCCUUACGACACUUUAGGUUUACUGCUUUU
RNAcentral lists this non-coding RNA (183 nucleotides) under Staphylococcus aureus. It matches the Rfam family "S. aureus tsr25 small RNA". Lineage: Bacteria; Bacillati; Bacillota; Bacilli; Caryophanales; Staphylococcaceae. The record is from RNAcentral. RNAcentral also lists the same sequence under 1 other name.